Molecule: ribosomal RNA, 215 nt
Filed under: uncultured fungus
Lineage: Eukaryota; Fungi
Description: partial small subunit ribosomal RNA
Rfam family: Eukaryotic small subunit ribosomal RNA (bases 91-215)
Source: RNAcentral
GACCUGGCCGGGCGGUCUGCCUCACGGUUUGUACUGUCUGGCCGGGCCUUACCUCUUGGUGAGCCGGCAUGUCCUUUACUGGGUGUGUCGGGGAACCAGGACUUUUACUUUGAGAAAAUUAGAGUGUUCAAAGCAGGCCUAUGCCCGAAUACAUUAGCAUGGAAUAAUAGAAUAGGACGUGCGGUUCUAUUUUGUUGGUUUCUAGAGUCGCCGUA